GAUAACUGGGUUAGGAUAAGGAUAUGUAGAAAAGACUCAGCCUCCAAGAGACUAGAAACAAACAAGACAAAACAAAAUGCAUUAAGAAAAGGUGAGGCAGGCAUCCAAAUUGAAGCUCUCCAUCAGGUCGCUUCUCUUGGAAGAGGGAGAGGAAGAAUUAUAGGAGACAGAGGAGUCAAGGACACCAGGACAACACAGCCCACAGAAUCAACCAAGGGAUAAUGGGGGCUCACAGAGACUGAAGCAGCAAUUAUGGAAUCUGCAAGGGUCUAUGUUAGAUCCUUUGUAUGUAUGCUAUGGUUGUUGGCUUGGAGAUUUUGUGAGUAUUCUAACAGUGUGAGGAGGGGUGUCUCAGACUCAUAUGCCUACUCUUGGGACUCUCCCCUUUUCUCCUACUGGGUUUCCUUACCUUACAGUCAGUUUAAAAGAGCUUCAUUUC
Mastomys coucha (southern multimammate mouse) is the source of this 439-nucleotide long non-coding RNA. RefSeq lists it as uncharacterized. The record is from RefSeq and is a predicted model, not a curated record. The transcript is spliced from 3 exons. NCBI's taxonomy places the organism in Eukaryota, Metazoa, Chordata, Mammalia, Rodentia, Muridae.